RNAcentral lists this ribosomal RNA (401 nucleotides) under uncultured bacterium. RNAcentral's name for it is "bacterial SSU rRNA". It matches the Rfam family "Bacterial small subunit ribosomal RNA", at positions 355 to 774 of the family's 1533-position model. The record is from RNAcentral.
UGGGGAAUAUUGCACAAUGGGCGAAAGCCUGAUGCAGCAACGCCGCGUGAGCGAUGAAGGCCUUCGGGUCGUAAAGCUCUGUCCUCAAGGAAGAUAAUGACGGUACUUGAGGAGGAAGCCCCGGCUAACUACGUGCCAGCAGCCGCGGUAAUACGUAGGGGGCUAGCGUUAUCCGGAAUUACUGGGCGUAAAGGGUGCGUAGGUGGUUUCUUAAGUCAGAGGUGAAAGGCUACGGCUCAACCGUAGUAAGCCUUUGAAACUGAGAAACUUGAGUGCAGGAGAGGAGAGUAGAAUUCCUAGUGUAGCGGUGAAAUGCGUAGAUAUUAGGAGGAAUACCAGUUGCGAAGGCGGCUCUCUGGACAGUAAUUGACGCUGAGAUGCGAAAGCGUGGGGAGCAAACA